This 1886-nucleotide ribosomal RNA is filed under the name human gut metagenome. Its description in RNAcentral is "bacterial LSU rRNA". It matches the Rfam family "Bacterial large subunit ribosomal RNA", at positions 3 to 1985 of the family's 2925-position model. The record is from RNAcentral.
UCAAGCUACAAAGAGCACAAGGGGAAUGCCUUGGCACCGAGAGCCGAAGAAGGACGUGACUAACUGCGAUAAGCUACGGGGAGCUGUAAGUGAGCGUUAUAUCCGUAGAUUUCCGAAUGGAGCAAUCCGAUUAGAGGAAAGUCUAAUCAUCAUAUACUGAAUACAUAGGUAUAUGAGGGGAACCGCCUGAACUGAAACAUCUAAGUAGGGCGAGGAAGAGAAAUCAACUGAGAUUCCGUAAGUAGUGGCGAGCGAACGCGGAAGAGGCCAAACCUAAUGUAGUAAUAUGUUAGGGGUUCGGACAGUAAAAUGAAUUGUCGAGAUUUAGCCGAAUGUCAUGGGAAGGGCAAUCAAAGAAGGUGAAAAUCCUGUAGGCGAAAAGUUAAGACAUCAGACUGUAUCCAGAGUACCGCCGGACACGUGAAACCCGGUGGGAAUAUGGGGGGACCAUCCUCCAAGCCUAAAUACUACUCGGUGACCGAUAGAGAAGAAGUACUGUGAAGGAAAGGUGAAAAGCACCCCGGAAGGGGAGUGAAAGAGAACCUGAAACCUUGUGUUUACAAGCACCGAAAGUUCAUCAACGAACGAUCGGGUACCUUUUGUAGAAUGGUCCGGCGAGUGAAUGUAACUGGCAAGGUUAAGCACUUAAGGUGUGAAGCCGUAGCGAGAGCGAGUCUGAAAAGGGCGCAUGAAGUCAGUUGUAUUCGACCCGAAACCGGGUGACCUACCCAUGUCCAGGCUGAAGUGCAGGUAAAACUUCAUGGAGGGCCGAACCGACUCCCGUUGAAAUGGUAGCGGAUGAGGUGUGGGUAGCGGAGAAAUUCCAAUCGAACCCGGAGAUAGCUGGUUCUCUCCGAAAUAGCUUUAGGGCUAGCCUUGGAACAGAUUACUGGAGGUAAAGCACUGAAUUGGCUAGGGGCCGAGAGGUUACUGAACCUUAUCAAACUAAGAAUGCCAGAUAAUCGUUUUCCAGGAGUCAGACAGUGGGAGAUAAGUUUCAUUGUCAAAAGGGAAACAGCCCAGACCUACAGCUAAGGUCCCAAAGUAUAGUUAAGUGGAAAAGGAUGUGGAAUUGCAUAGACAACCAGGAUGUUGGCUUAGAAGCAGCCACUCAUUAAAAGAGUGCGUAAUAGCUCACUGGUCGAGUGAUUCUGCGCCGAAAAUUUAACGGGGCUAAACUAUACACCGAAGCUUAGGAUACCGCAAGGUAUGGUAGGAGAGCGUUCUGUACGGAGUGAAGUCGUAGCGAAAGCGGCGGUGGACUGUACAGAAGUGAGAAUGCCGGAAUAAGUAGCGAGAAUUAAGUGAGAAUCUUAAUGGCCGAAAGUCUAAGGUUUUUGGAGGAAGGUUCGUCCGCUCCAAGUAAGUCGGGAGCUAAGGUCAGGCCGAAAGGCGUAGCCGAUGCACAAACGGUUGAUAUUCCGUUACCGUCUACAAUUUAAACAAAGGGACACAUACAAAGCGUUUAACCCGGGCGAUGGUUGACCCGGGCGCAAGGGACUGAAAUAAGAGUAGGGAAGUAAAUGUGGCGUAUGGCGAGAAAAGCUUUGUGAAUAGAAGUAGACGCCCGUACCGCAAACCGACACAGGUGGACAGGAAGAGAAUUCUAAGGCCAGCGGGAGAAGGGUAGUUAAGGAACUCGGCAAAUUGACUCCGUAACUUCGGAAUAAGGAGUGCUCGAAAGAGCCGCAGAGAAUAGGCCCAGGCGACUGUUUAGCAAAAACACAGGUCUCUGCCAAAUCGAAAGAUGAAGUAUAGGGGCUGACACCUGCCCGGUGCCGGAAGGUUAAGAGGAGGAGUGCAAGCUCCGAAUUGAAGCCCCGGUAAACGGCGGCCGUAACUAUAACGGUCCUAAGGUAGCGAAAUUCCUUGUCGGGUAAGUUCCG